UUUAUAUUGAUGAUGGGAUAUCAAAUACAGAGUUGAUCUACCUCAAUAUCAUAUGUUAUGGUCUAAAACCCUAAGAAUAAUGAUCUUAACUUGUCCUACGGACUAAAACCCUCUGGUUUAUAUAGAUACCAGGGAUAUAGGGUUAUACAAUGUCAGUUACACUAAGGAGAAAACAUGUUGAUUAUCAUCUUGCCAUGGGGCGCACACCAAGUCUUCGCAAGAGUUCGUCUUGGAUACAACAUCGUCUUAUAGUUCGGGCUCCCAUGAUAUUAUAUGACGGCCCAGGAGUUCGGUCCAUAAAAAUAGGUAAGCGAUACGAGAACGCCUUAAUCCUAGACUCCUUCACUUUCCAAAACACAUUAGAAUGAAAAGUUAGAAAACCAAUUUUGUCCUUAAGCACGCAAGUACCAAGAAGACGCUUCCUGCUCACUGAUGAGUGACAUCACUAAAGUAACAAAAAAAUAAAAAAAAUGUUAAUUUCAAGAGGGGAAGCGGACACAAGUUACUUUCAGAUAUUGGUGUCAUUUAAUAUCAAUACUGGAAGAUGAUAUAUCAAUAACUAUAUACUCCCUCCGUCCCAAAAUAACUGUCUCAACUUUAUACUAGCUCUAGUAUAAAGUUGUGCUAAGUUUAAGACACUUAUUUUGGGACGGAGGGAGUACAAUUCUUAUUCCAUUCACACAUAUUUCUUUGGACCCACAUCAUAAUUCAAGCAUAGUUUUCCUUCUUGUCUCUGAUCAUGGUAUUAUAAAGGGGAAUAGAGAGACAGGUUGCAGAAAAAAAAGUAAUAGGGUUAUAGGAAAUAAAGUAACUCAUUUACUCCCUCCGUCCAGUCCGGUGAAGAGUGUACGUUUGGCCUAAAAAUUUGUUCAUAAAAGAGCGUACUUUUAUUUUUCCAAUGUACUUUAAAAUAGAAAAAAAAUGCUUCUUUCUCAUCACACGGUAAUCAAGACCAAUAACAUUCUACACAUAGUCUCCUUAAUUUCUACGUGCACUUAGCUCAUUGGGGGUUGGGUAAUUAAAGAGGAAAGAGAUGAUGGCUUGCAUCUUUCCAAUACAUUUUUUACUCCACUUCAUAAUUUGUCCUAAAAUGUCUAUAUGUACACUUUUCAUCGGACGGAGGGAGUAGGUAUGACCAUGGAGAAGACAAAGCUUUCAUAGAGAAAUUUGGGAAUAGAGCCUUUUUCUCAAUUUAAUUACUUCAGAAUCAUCGGUAUGAGAACACACAUUGAUACCUGUUGCUACAAACUGAUCCACUUGCUUCUCCUCAUAGAAUAAUAUCAUUAAUCCUAUGUACACAUGAAAUGAACAGACUAAUUAGUCUAACAUCAAAUAAUGUCUUCUUGAAACUAAAACAUAAAAAGGCAAGUCUUGAGGUAGAAACAGAAUCCCCUAUGAAUUAUCACACAAAAUUUAAGAAAAUAAGAAAACACCCAACAAGAAAAACUUGCGACCCAUCCAAAGAUUCCUAGAAUUUGAAUGACAUCAUAUUCGGCACAAUGCAAAGUAUAUAUAUCUUAAUCUUAUUGAACCCAAAAAAGUAAAACAACAAAGUGUCGAAGACCACCGGUGCCAUUCUCAUCAGCAUCGACCAAUUUUGUGGAAGUAAAAAAAACAUCAAACAUGGGAACCAUACCAUCCAUCCUAAAACUCUUGGAAUCCGAUACACGAAGAACAUCACACACAUGACUACCAUACAUUGUAUACAACAUUAUGUUAGUUUUAAUUAUUGAGAAAUCAUGCGUGUAUUGCCAACAAAAAUUGGGGCUUCUCAUGUACAUUAGACCAACAAAUGGAGGUAAGUUUAUAAGUAUAUAUACACGAGUAAGCCCACAAAUUAGAAAAAUACAGGGACAUUAAUCAUAUUUUCUUACAUGCAUCAGGAUGUAAGAUGUGGUGACCUUGGCUCCACAACCAUGGAGACGGCCAGUCUGGACAUGACGGUGGCAGGGGUACAGCGUGAGAAAAGGAGGAGUCAGAAAAGUGAGUACAAUUACUGAUCAUUUUUACAAUUGUUGAUUUAGAUUCCGAUUCAUACUCUAAAAUAGGAGGGCUAAAAUUCCUUAUUCAACCGCUAUAAAUAAACUAUGAUGACAGUGAGACAGUGCGCAAAAAGCUGAAUGUGCAAGAUCGACAUCUUUGUUAGUAAAAAACACAUCAUUUUCUUCUUGUAGAAUGCAACACAUGCAAAGAAUGGAAAUUCACCGUCGAAUAAAAGACAUUCUCUAUUUAUUUGCUGAAUGUGCAUUAUCUUUUUUUGGACAAAAGAAUGCAACACAUACAAAGAAUGGAAACUCGCCAUCGAAUAAAAGACAUGCUCCACAGUUCAAGUAUCUGAAGUAACUUUCAUACAAGCAUGGGAUUGGCACAUAUGUGUUGGCAAGUAACAAAUAUUAGUAAAAGGAAAACAGAUUAUCCAAAAGAAGAAAGGUUAUAUAUAUUUUCAAAGUACCCAGCCAUAAAAUCAGAUGCUUCUUGAUUAACAAAAUGAACACACAAUUAAGCGGGCAUAGGAGGUCUAUUGUACCGACAAAAAACACAUGUGGACAUGGAGGCAAUCGAUCCAUCUUCAAAAACAGUUCGGAGUUCCGCAUAUAGAGAGAGAUAUAGAUAGUGGUGUUCUGAAAAUAGCACUUCUUAAUUCUGUAUUCCUCGUAGGUACAUCUAUAAGACAUUCAAAGUGAAGCUGAGAUUGCCUUUCUAUCCUUAUAUUUAGAUUGCUAGUGUUACAAUUACAGUACCUAUAUCAGAAAAUUUAUGGUAUAAUCACUUAAUAAAUUGCUAUCAAAGAAGCAUACAUGACAUAAGGGAUAUCUUGUUGCCUCGACAAUUAGAAAAAUACAGCAGUACAAAUCUUUAAAGGAAAAGGGUAAACUGAACUUGCAAACAGUGUAGGUUCCAUCAAUUUGCACAGAAUUUAUACCAUGAAAAAAACUAAAUUCAGACCACACAACAUGGCAAACCAUGGAGAAGGAAAAUCAGGGGAUGCCAAAAUAAUUAAUCAAUUUUGUCCUGUGGACCUGGAAGCAAAGACAAAUUACUUGUAUAUACAGUACACACCCCAGAGCUUGCAGCAAGGUAAUGAAUAAACAGAACUGCAACAAAGGAGCAUAUUUACUAUAUUAGUUUCCAUUGGAUCUCUAAGCUACAAAAAGUUAUUCCAGUCUGAAUAUCACCUCCUUUUCAUAGUGUAGUGAAACUGUAAUUAAAAGAACUUUCAGUGCAUAGCUCUUACAAGAGUAUCACUUCAUGUCUAUACUUAAUAAUUCUGCACUCCAAAUAGCUACAACCCUCUACUGUAUUGUUUUAAUUAAGAAGCAAUAAUGUGACCGUAUUUCAUGGCAAAAAAUGUUCAUUGCUCCUGUUAGAAGGAUAAAAUAACUACCUUUAGUAGGUACUUCAACUAUGAAAGAGCGUGUAAUAAUUAGUGAUUAGUGAUUUACCUGAGAGAGUAAAAGCAUGGCAAGUAUAUUCAUUAACUGCUCUCAACUGAUUAUGGAAUGAGUUUUUGACGGAAAAUAGAAAGCACGCAACACAAGAACAGUAGGCAC
This 3551-nucleotide long non-coding RNA is filed under the name Hordeum vulgare. RNAcentral describes it as "long non-coding RNA (HVUL_LNC010121)". The record is from RNAcentral. Lineage: Eukaryota; Viridiplantae; Streptophyta; Magnoliopsida; Poales; Poaceae.